Molecule: long non-coding RNA, 456 nt
Filed under: Vigna radiata
Lineage: Eukaryota; Viridiplantae; Streptophyta; Magnoliopsida; Fabales; Fabaceae
Description: long non-coding RNA (VRAD_LNC013297)
Source: RNAcentral
UUUAAUCACCAAAUAACAAUGAAAUUGCUAGUCAUAAGAUCAAUGUAUCAAUCUCACAACAAUUAUUAUCAAACAUAUAUCAAUCUAAUCACCAAAUAACAAUACAAUUGUUAGUCCUAUGACGAAUAUAUCAAUCUCAAAAUAAUUAUUAUCAAACACAAACCAAGAGAAUGAACGAACUCUAGCGGCAACUAUGGUGGAUGCAGCAUUUGGAGAGCACAAAAAUGGUGUUUGCGCGAAAGAAAUGGAAAUGGAGGCAGCAUGGAAAACCGUUCAUUUGCGCUGGAGUAUGAAGGCAACACUGGAGAGGAAGAAGAAUAGUAGGUUCAUUUUUUUACGUUUAUGAAAUUUCAACCAACGAAAGAGAUACUACCUCGAUUAACUAAAUAACCAAGGCAAUGAACACUCUAUUGCCUCAGUUAUACAAGCAAUCGAUGCUUAAACCGUUAAAAAAAU